UAGGUAAUCUUCCGCAAUGGGCGAAAGCUUGACGGAGCAACGCCGCGUGAGUGAUGAAGGUCUUCGGAUCGUAAAACUCUGUUAUUAGGGAAGAACAAAUGUGUAAGUAACUAUGCACGUCUUGACGGUACCUAAUCAGAAAGCCACGGCUAACUACGUGCCAGCAGCCGCGGUAAUACGUAGGUGGCAAGCGUUAUCCGGAAUUAUUGGGCGUAAAGCGCGCGUAGGCGGUUUUUUAAGUCUGAUGUGAAAGCCCACGGCUCAACCGUGGAGGGUCAGUGGAAACUGGAAAACUUGAGUGCAGAAGAGGAAAGUGGAAUUCCAUGUGUAGCGGUGAAAUGCGCAGAGAUAUGGAGGAACACCAGUGGCGAAGGCGACUUUCUGGUCUGUAACUGACGCUGAUGUGCGAAAGCGUGGGGAUCAAACAGG
RNAcentral lists this ribosomal RNA (429 nucleotides) under Actinomycetes bacterium. RNAcentral describes it as "Actinobacteria bacterium partial 16S ribosomal RNA". It matches the Rfam family "Bacterial small subunit ribosomal RNA", at positions 355 to 776 of the family's 1533-position model. The record is from RNAcentral. Lineage: Bacteria; Bacillati; Actinomycetota; Actinomycetes.